This 751-nucleotide ribosomal RNA is filed under the name uncultured bacterium. RNAcentral's name for it is "bacterial SSU rRNA". It matches the Rfam family "Bacterial small subunit ribosomal RNA", at positions 8 to 795 of the family's 1533-position model. The record is from RNAcentral.
AGAGUUUGAUCCUGGCUCAGAACGAACGCUGGCGGCAGGCUUAACACAUGCAAGUCGAACGGUUGUAGCAAUACAGCAGUGGCAGACGGGUGAGUAACACGUGGGAACCUUCCUAGGGGUACGGAACAACUCAGAGGAAACUUGAGCUAAUACCGUAUACGUCCGUGAGGAGAAAGUUUUAACGCCCCUAGACGGGCCCGCGUAGGAUUAGGUAGUUCGGUGAGGUAACGGCUCACCAAGCCUACGAUCCUUAGCUGAUCUGAGAGGAUGAUCAGCCACACUGGGACUGAGACACGGCGCCAGACUCCUACGGGAGGCAGCAGUGGGGAAUCUUGGACAAUGGGCGCAAGCCUGAUCCAGCCAUGCCGCGUGAGUGAGAGAAGGCCUUCGGGUUGUAGAGCUCUUUUACCAGGGACGAUAAUGACGGUACCUGGAGAAUAAGCCCCGGCAAACUUCGUGCCAGCAGCCGCGGUAAUACGAAUGGGGCUAGCGUUGUUCGGAAUUACUGGGCGUAAAGCGCACGUAGGCGGAUUGUUAAGUCGGAGGUGAAAUCCCGGAGCUCAACUUCUGAACUGCCUUUGAUACUGGCAAUCUCGAGUUCUGAGGANGUUAGUGGANUCCCCAGUGUAUAGGUGACAUUCGUAGAUUUUGGGAANAACCCCAAUGGUAAAAGCUGCUUACUGUUCCGGUACUGACCCUGAUGGUGCAAAACCUUGGGGAUNCCAACCGGANGUGAAUAACCUUGGUAAUU